Molecule: ribosomal RNA, 468 nt
Filed under: uncultured bacterium
Lineage: Bacteria
Description: partial 16S ribosomal RNA
Rfam family: Bacterial small subunit ribosomal RNA
Source: RNAcentral
GACGAACGCUGGCGGCGUGCUUAACACAUGCAAGUCGAACGGAAAGGCCCUGCUUUUGUUGGGUGCUCGAGUGGCGAACGGGUGAGUAACACGUGAGUAACCUGCCCUUGACUUUGGGAUAACUUCAGGAAACUGGGGCUAAUACCGGAUAGGAGCUCCUGCUGCAUGGUGGGGGUUGGAAAGUUUCGGCGGUUGGGGAUGGACUCGCGGCUUAUCAGCUUGUUGGUGGGGUAGUGGCUUACCAAGGCUUUGACGGGUAGCCUGCCUGAGAGGGUGACCGGCGACAUUGCGACUGAGAUACGGCCCAGUAUCCUACGGGCGGCAGCAGUGGGGAAUAUUGCACAGUGGGCGGAAGCCUGAUGCAGCAACGCCGCGUGCGGGAUGACGGCCUUCGGGUUGUAAACCGCUUUCGCCUGUGACGAAGCGUGAGUGACGGUAAUGGGUAAAGAAGCACCGGCUAACUACGUG